Molecule: transfer RNA, 64 nt
Filed under: Plectoderini sp. SX-2018
Lineage: Eukaryota; Metazoa; Arthropoda; Insecta; Hemiptera; Achilidae
Description: tRNA-Phe
Source: RNAcentral
AUUUAAGUAGCUUAAUAUUAAAGUUUGAUGUUGAAAAUGUCAUGAUAGGUAAUUCUCUUAAGUA